UAAAUAGCUUUACAUCUUACUACAGAUCAGC
This 31-nucleotide non-coding RNA is filed under the name Mus musculus (house mouse). The record is from RNAcentral. Lineage: Eukaryota; Metazoa; Chordata; Mammalia; Rodentia; Muridae.